AGAGUUUGAUCCUGGCUCAGGAUGAACGCUAGCUACAGGCUUAACACAUGCAAGUCGAGGGGCAGCAUGGUCUUAGCUUGCUAAGGCCGAUGGCGACCGGCGCACGGGUGAGUAACACGUAUCCAACCUGCCGUCUACUCUUGGACAGCCUUCUGAAAGGAAGAUUAAUACAAGAUGGCAUCAUGAGUCCGCAUGUUCACAUGAUUAAAGGUAUUCCGGUAGACGAUGGGGAUGCGUUCCAUUAGAUAGUAGGCGGGGUAACGGCCCACCUAGUCUUCGAUGGAUAGGGGUUCUGAGAGGAAGGUCCCCCACAUUGGAACUGAGACACGGUCCAAACUCCUACGGGAGGCAGCAGUGAGGAAUAUUGGUCAAUGGGCGAGAGCCUGAACCAGCCAAGUAGCGUGAAGGAUGACUGCCCUAUGGGUUGUAAACUUCUUUUAUAAAGGAAUAAAGUCGGGUAUGGAUACCCGUUUGCAUGUACUUUAUGAAUAAGGAUCGGCUAACUCCGUGCCAGCAGCCGCGGUAAUACGGAGGAUCCGAGCGUUAUCCGGAUUUAUUGGGUUUAAAGGGAGCGUAGAUGGAUGUUUAAGUCAGUUGUGAAAGUUUGCGGCUCAACCGUAAAAUUGCAGUUGAUACUGGAUAUCUUGAGUGCAGUUGAGGCAGGCGGAAUUCGUGGUGUAGCGGUGAAAUGCUUAGAUAUCACGAAGAACUCCGAUUGCGAAGGCAGCCUGCUAAGCUGCAACUGACAUUGAGGCUCGAAAGUGUGGGUAUCAAACAGGAUUAGAUACCCUGGUAGUCCACACGGUAAACGAUGAAUACUCGCUGUUUGCGAUAUACUGCAAGCGGCCAAGCGAAAGCGUUAAGUAUUCCACCUGGGGAGUACGCCGGCAACGGUGAAACUCAAAGGAAUUGACGGGGGCCCGCACAAGCGGAGGAACAUGUGGUUUAAUUCGAUGAUACGCGAGGAACCUUACCCGGGCUUAAAUUGCAGAUGAAUUACGGUGAAAGCCGUAAGCCGCAAGGCAUCUGUGAAGGUGCUGCAUGGUUGUCGUCAGCUCGUGCCGUGAGGUGUCGGCUUAAGUGCCAUAACGAGCGCAACCCUUGUUGUCAGUUACUAACAGGUUCCGCUGAGGACUCUGACAAGACUGCCAUCGUAAGAUGUGAGGAAGGUGGGGAUGACGUCAAAUCAGCACGGCCCUUACGUCCGGGGCUACACACGUGUUACAAUGGGGGGUACAGAGGGCCGCUACCACGCGAGUGGAUGCCAAUCCCAAAAACCUCUCUCAGUUCGGACUGGAGUCUGCAACCCGACUCCACGAAGCUGGAUUCGCUAGUAAUCGCGCAUCAGCCACGGCGCGGUGAAUACGUUCCCGGGCCUUGCACUCACCGCCCGUCAAG
Molecule: ribosomal RNA, 1398 nt
Filed under: uncultured bacterium
Lineage: Bacteria
Description: bacterial SSU rRNA
Rfam family: Bacterial small subunit ribosomal RNA
Source: RNAcentral